GGGGUGGGGGCAAGUGAAGGGGAAAGAGAACCCAGAGCUUCCAGUUGUCUUCAUGGUCCGGCAGUAGCUGCACUCUGAUGCCCACUGGUUUCUAGAUGCAGCUGUUUCUGCUGGUCAAGCUCCUUAGUUUCCCCUGGCAUCAUCGAGGCCCCAGCUCAGGCACUUGACCCAGGCUCUCAGCGGAUGCCCAGGUCCUGCAGAUGAAAAGCAUCAUCUCACAUCCCUGAGCUUCUAGAGAAGACACUAGACCAGAACUGUAUUCUGUCUGCAGAAAUGCCACCUGUCUCAGGAGGACCUGUGUGGGCACCAGGAGGCAAUUCCGCUAGCCUGAUCUCAAACCCUGGGACUCCAAAGGCCAGGCAUCGGCUGUCUGAUUUCUAUCCACACUCAAGUUGUGGCUCCCAGACUAGCUGUGGAAAAUGCAAGUCUCCCGUCUCCUCACACAUUGCCCACUUGACUGCACUUGCUGUUGCUAUGCUGCUGUGCUGCAAGGCAUUUAAAAGCAAUAUUCUGAGAAGGAGUCCAGGAACUUCACCUGACGUCCAGUGGAUUCCCAACCUCAACUCUUUCCUAGGAUCUGACUUUCAACCAGGAAUCAGAUCAGGCCUUUACUUUUAAGAGCUGAGCCCUGGUGGGUGACUCAGAAUAAACACAUGCAUAAA
This is a long non-coding RNA of Mesocricetus auratus (golden hamster), 662 nucleotides long. RefSeq lists it as uncharacterized. The record is from RefSeq and is a predicted model, not a curated record. NCBI's taxonomy places the organism in Eukaryota, Metazoa, Chordata, Mammalia, Rodentia, Cricetidae. The transcript is spliced from 3 exons.